This 750-nucleotide ribosomal RNA is filed under the name uncultured bacterium. RNAcentral's name for it is "bacterial SSU rRNA". It matches the Rfam family "Bacterial small subunit ribosomal RNA", at positions 43 to 788 of the family's 1533-position model. The record is from RNAcentral.
AAAGCUUAAAUGCCAAGUCGACGAGAGACCUUNCGGGUCUCUAGUGGCGAACGGGUGAGUAACACGUAGGGAACCUGCCCGCGCACCGGGAAUACGCUCUGGAAACGGAGAACAAAUCCCGAUGUACAGGAAGGAGGCAUCUUCUUUCUGUGAAACAUCCUCUAGGGGAUGGGGCGCGGAUGGACCUGCGGUGCAUUAGUUGGUUGGCGGGGUAAAGGCCCACCAAGACGAUGAUGCAUAGCCGGCCUGAGAGGGCGGACGGCCACAUUGGGACUGAGACACGGCCCAGACUCCUGCGGGAGGCAGCAGUAGGGAAUUUUCGUCAAUGGGCGCAAGCCUGAACGAGCGAUGCCGCGUGAGUGAAGAAGGCCUUCGGGUCGUAAAGCUCUGUUGCGGGGGAAAAAAGGCAGCAUCAGGAAAUGGGUGCUGACUGAUGGUGCCCCGCCAGAAAGUCACGGCUAACUACGUGCCAGCAGCCGCGGUAAUACGUAGGUGGCGAGCGUUAUCCGGAAUGAUUGGGCGUAAAGGGUGCGCAGGCGGUCCUGCAAGUCUGGAGUGAAACGCAUGAGCUCAACUCAUGCAUGGCUUUGGAAACUGGAGGACUGGAGAGCAGGAGAGGGCGGUGGAACUCCAUGUGUAGCGGUAAAAUGCGUAGAUAUAUGGAAGAACACCAGUGGCGAAGGCGGCCGCCUGGCCUGUUGCUGACGCUGAGGCACGAAAGCGUGGGGAGCAAAUAGGAUUAGAUACCCU